Molecule: long non-coding RNA, 6709 nt
Filed under: Aphidius gifuensis
Lineage: Eukaryota; Metazoa; Arthropoda; Insecta; Hymenoptera; Braconidae
Description: uncharacterized LOC122851641, transcript variant X3
Source: RNAcentral
UUUUGAUCAGUCGCAAUCAGUCGUCUCCAGUCGUCUCCUGUAAACUGGAAGAGAAAGGACGUUAUUUUUUGUGGAUCGGAGAUUUUGUGGUAACUUUUUCAUCAAGCCCGAGCAAGCCAUCUUUUUUUUUGUGCCUCGGCUUCUCGCUAAUCAUAUCUGAAUGUUCCUUGAUGAAUCUGUACAAACAAAGCAGUUUUUCGUUGAUAACUGGUAAACGUUCCAAGUUGGAGUUCUACCAGAGAGGUGGCACUACCAUGUCGUUUGCCAGCAUGUUGGAGUCUUGGCUGAUGUGUCAUACUAAUACGAAGCUGGAUCAACAUAGUACAAUAACAAGAUCAUCAAUCAGAAUAAUAAACAAGCUCAUCAAUGACAGCACUAAAUUAAACAGAAUAUAUUUUCAAAGCAACUUAAGGCAAAAAGAUGAGUUUACAUUGAAAAUAGAUGAUAAUGAAUGAUGAUGAUGGUCAUCUGACUUGACUGAAAACGAUGAAGGGCGCUUGAAGUGUUGAUAGUUACGAGAAUGUGAUGGAUUUUGAUAUAGCAAUAGCUUCAUCGAUGAACACUUCAAACGUGUACCUAUCGACGAACACGUUCCAGGAAUGGCAAUCAUCGUGAUAGGAUAGUAAUACAAUUAUCACCUGGACAACACACAGAGAGGAUUCUCAAUAGUGAAUGCCUAUAUACGCGUAUAAUUAGUGGUUGAAUCGAGAGUGCACGAACUGAUGGAUGCCAUAUCCAAUCUAUAUAUUAUCAUCAUCAUCAUCCAUUUAUAUAUACUUGACGAAAAUAGAGAUAAAGAGUAAAUAUAUAUAUAUAAAAAGGGAUUUGCAAGUAUGUACAAUUCAAUGCAAAUAUUCUCAUGACCAGGAACGAGUUCGUUAAUCUGUUAAUGCAUUUGAUUUCAAUGAUGAAAAUCUAGUAGAAAAUCACUGAAAAACAAAGAUGCUGUACUUGUUCGUUGUCCGAUAAAAUUAAACAUGUUUAUAUUAAAAAACAUACUGGCGAUUCAUGCUGACGAAAGUUUAAUCAGUUUUAUCGAUAACGCCUUGGGCUUUAAAGCAGUAUAAACAACGAGUUUGGAUAUUUGUGUGCAGAGUAUUUAUCUUGGUGCUGAGAAUAAUCACAAUAUGACCACUAGACAAUGAUGCCUCACACGAGAUGGACCAUGUUUAAGAUGGAAGUUGAGAGAAAAAAAAUAAAUAAAAUGAUUCAUGAAGGCUGUGAUCGUAAUGUGAGCAAGUAAGCGGACAUUAUCGGCUCGUUGAGAGUCGUCAUCAACUCUUGAGAUGCAUUUCAGGCAUUUUAACGUGAGUACUAACGGACAAAGACGAAUUAUAAAAAUUACGUUAAAGUUCUAAAGUGAGGAUGUAAAAUGAGUACUGGAUAUAUGAUGGUGUUUGACUAAAUAUAAAGAAAAUAGUCUAAAAAGUUUUCAAGUGAUAUGAAAGCUACAUUUUAGAGAAAUUGGAUGAUAAAGGUCUUGCUUGUGGUGUAUGUUGUAUAUUCAACUGACUCAACCCUCUUGUUUAACGUAAAAUUGUUGUGAUAUCUACACCCCUUUUCACGAACGGAGCCCGCCCAAUGAGAGAAUAACCAAAGAAGAUAGUGUGACGACGUGAUGAAUGUGACAGUUAGAUUAAUUGUUGGCUACCGCGUUCAUCGGUGCGUUUGUUGGUUUGUUUUCGGUCGAAGAGAAGAGGAGAGGAGGUGUUGAAAAUCAUUGCCAACGUACGAGGAAUUUGAUAAUAAAGAAAAUUGAUUGUAAAAAAGAAAAAGGAAAAAGUUGCGUAUAUUUGACCUUUAAUAAUAAAGUAAUAGUCAAUUAUCGUUGAAAUUAUUUGUCACGAUCGUCACGCUAACUUUACAUAUGUUUGGCCUUAACAAUACUCAGGUUAAACAGCAUAUUACACGACGAGAGGAUAAAAUUGUUUGGCAUCAAUUGACGUGAAGGUUAAACCACUGGUGAUAAAUUUGUUUACCGUUAUUGCAUCAAAUUACAACUGGAUCCAUCAAAAAAUAUAUAUCUUAUUCUUCACGGUAUCAACUGUAAUUUCAAUUCAAUAUACAAAGUGAGUAUGUGAGUCAACCUGCCCACGAAAUCGAGGCCAUGUGACAAUGGAUUGAUUUAGUGAAAUUCUGUUCUGUUCUGGCUUGAAUAGUCUCGAGGUGGGUCUCUCAAGUAAACCAGUCAACUGAUGAUCUCAACCCCAUGGUACUGUCUCUUGGUCACGUACAGACUGUAACACGCGUACUGAUAUAUUCUGUGUUCAACAUGUACACGGAUCAGAGAAUGCGUCUUGAGUAUGUUUCGACAUUCAGCUAUACAUACAACCACGUGUACAAGUCACUCGUCUUUGGACAACAGGCCACUUUGUUUUGGACAACUUGCCUUGAUUAUACACAAUACAAUAAAGGAAUGAAAAAUGUGUAGGCGUGGUGAUGCAAUUCAUGUUUAUAAAUAUUUUUGUUGAUCAUUUUGAUCUACUUAAAUUUUUAUUUUCAUUCUUAUUGUACAUCCAAUUGGUAUAUUGAGUUGGUUGGACGCUCAAGUUGCAGACAGAUGGUUUUAAAAUUAAACUGAAAAAAAAAAAACAACAUUCAACUACAUCAUAAAGACUCGUGUCGCCAGUUGACUAUGAAUGUAAUCCUGAGGGAAGGUUGGUUUGGUCCGGUUGGAUUGUUGAACGUCCAGCAUAGAGAUUUCAUCGUAUCAUAAUAUGUGAUAUGUGGCGAAUAUAUGCGGUGACGAAAGUGGACUCUGAUACGCCUGGUGAAUCGUCACGCCAAAGUGGACAUUGUCGUCAAGAGAAGUUUAUGCAAUCGUAUUUAAAAUUGAUUACGAGGGUUCCAUGCUGCUGCUUGAUUAUUUGGAAAAGAAAAAUCAUCAUGCUGUACUUGAUGAAAGCAAUUAAUAUACACAUAAAGUUGGAAAAAAAAAUAAUUCCAUUGCGCCAUAACCAGGUGAACAAUUGUGUUUUAUCAAGGUGGCUGAUUAUCUUUAUCAAUUGAGAAAACAUCAGCUACGUAGGACGUGAUAAUUAAAAAUCUUAUAACAAUUUUAUGUAAUUUAAUUUCAAAAUGUCAAUGUGGUGGGUCACAUCUAUACGCAUACAAACGAUUCGUCAUUUUACCUGUCAAUCAAGGAUGGAAAAAAAAGUGAGCGAAUGCAUAAUCAUGACAGAUUAUUAUUUGCGGCAUAUCAGAGAAUAAUACAAUGGAGUAAAAUGAAUGGGAACUCAAUGCAGAACAGUGAACGUGGAUCAAAACUUAAUAACGAUGUCAUAUCGGCUUCGGGGUAUUUUUCAAUAGACUUGAAAUUUCAUGGCUUUGCAUUACGAGUUUUUAAAAAAAAUCGUCAACCAAAAAGUAUGCGACAGGAGCAUUGGCCUUAAUGCAUUCCAAGAGGUGAUAAAAUGAUCAAGGGCUGUGUGUGUGGCUGCAUAAAGGUCGAAGGUACGAUGGUUUGCAGAAAAAAAAAAAAAAGAUGAAGCAAGCAAGGUGCAUUAUAUAUAUUAUCCAAGGAUUUGCAUUGGACAAGACUUACAGUUAUUGCUGAACAUCUCAUCAGGACUUAUGAGGCACCCUAAGAAAAUGGCUUGAGCUAUAUGGCCAUGGCUAUUUUCUCUUGUCUUGGAAUCUAAAGAUGAAUAGUAAAGGGGAUGAAAUUAUCUUGGGGAUAUAUUUCGUGUCUUUCAGAGCAGAGUUAUAUGAGAAAAUUUUACUGUAUAUUUGAAAUAUACAAUAAGCAAUUGAAGUGACUCAAGUUAUAUACACUUUAAUCUUGAAAAUUGUUACUAGCAGUCAUGGUCAUCUUCCUGUAGUCGUUUUGGUGUCCCAACUAAUUAAAGUAAAACCGUAUUUUGGUAAUUCAAAGUGUCCAUAGUACAUCUCUACACUUUACAGUUGAAUUGUUAGUAGAUGAAGAGAAAGGAGAAUACGAAAAUUUACAAUUUUAUACAUAUAUAUGUAUAUAAAUGUGAAACUCGUGGAAACUAAGUGCCUGACUGUCCUUGGAAUUGGCUCAUUCCCGUGAAAUAACUGCCUCUCAAUAUAUAUUGUUAAUGUAUAGAUAUAUAUAUCGUUAUACCAGGACAUCCGCCUUAGCAAGAAUAAUCCAACUGUAUAGUUUAUCCCAAAGCCAGGAAUUGCGUAACAUUAAACUUGGUGACGACAAAACUUAGCUUGGUGGUGCCAAGAACAAUGAAAAUGUGACAAAUAUCUUAUUAUUUCUUGUCUUUGGCGCCGAGUUGACUUGGGCAGGCUAUCAAUUAUUACUAUUAUCUCUGUAAAAUUAUCAUCAUCAUCAUCAUCAUCAACAUUAACAUUAACAUUAACAUACAUACAUGUUACAGUGGAAAAUCGUUUGGGCAAAAUCACUGAGAGAAGAGAAACCAAAUCCCAUAGGAAGUUAGCACGGAUUACCAUGGGCAUCCAUCACUCGAUGUUUCUUUCCAGUCAGCAUCAACUGUAAAGGCGAAAAUAGAGUCUUAGAGGGAUACAACUUGUCUGUAUUGGAAAAGGAAAUUUCCGGCAAAUUGCAGCCCCAAGCUAUGGCCUGUAUAUCUAUUCUUGUUUUUGGUCUUUGGAUUUUAAUUCACGCUGAGUGAACGAUGGAACAAUGACAGACUCAAGUGGUUCUCCAUGGGUCAAAGGGAGUGCUCCAUGAUUGGUGGAAGAAGAAAAUAAAGACGAUAAUGAAAAAAAAAAAGAAGAAAAAAAAAAUUGAAAACGUUUGCAAGAAUGAGAGAAGAGACGCUCGGGCACGCUUUGGCCACUUUGCUAGACGAGAAAGUGGAGUCUGUAUACUUGAGAUGUAAAGGCGAAAUAUACGGGUACGUGUGCUUUGUACAUGAGUGGAUUGUGUACGAGGAGGAGAGGCCUUCAUCGUACGAGUGCUUUUGCUUGCUGAAUCAAAUGCAUAUACCUGCAUGUGGACCAACUCACCCGAGAGCACCUGUUGAAACGACCGCAUAUCCAAAGUUGCUCGACUUCAAUCUAUCGUUCAGGAUUCGUGACGAAUACUAAUAAAGUUGAACCCGCUAAUUUCUUCAAGUGACCCUCUUGAAGUAGCGUGUUCGAUUAUAUAUAGGGUGUGGAAAAGGUCUGAAUUCGUUGGGGGUUGCCGAAAGAGAAAAAAAAAAAGCCAAGAGAAACCGUUUUGGAAUUGAAAAAAAAAAAAACCACCACCACCACCUAUGGCGUUUGGGAAAUAUGCUUUCAGGCACUUUCAAACUUAAGGGCGUUUUAGAUUCCAAUCUAAUAAAUACUUCCUCAAUGCUAACUGUCUUUUUUUUUAUGUUAUUAUUUUUUAUUAGGGAGAGAGAGUGUAUACAUAGAGAAGGAAAAAAAAAAAAUGCGUCCAUCCGUAUCGCCUUUUUUAAAACCUACUUAUCUUGGAAGCUACAAAUCAAUUUAACGACAUGAAUAAAAAGUCAUUUUAACUUGCUAUUAUUUUUGGUUCGUUAGGAUGUGUCUCUUCAUUAAUCACAUAUCCCUUCACCAGCCGGAAACGAUGAAUUUUCUAUGCUCAAUGCAGAAAUCUAAAAGUGAAAAGGAAAAAAAAAAAAGCUAUAUCAAUAAAAAAUAAGUGAGUCCGGUCAAAAAUAUACGUCGACAAAACACAUUUGAAAAAUGUAUGAAUUUUAUCAGCAACAGCAUUUUUAAUCACACUGGUAUUUAUGUGGUUGGUGUUAAUAUAGAAGCUAUGUGGUUAUGCAUAGUAAUGAGAAACGAGAGAAACACGGGACACAAUCUAAUAGGCAUAAAAUGCUCCAGUUAAAAACUCCAUCUUAAAUAUUGGAGAAAUAAAAAGAACAAAGCCGAUUAAAAACAAAAAGAAAAUUACUCGGAAAUUUGUUUUUAUAAUGACGAGUAACGGAGUAAAAUGCAUUGACUGUGUGACAUUUGCUAAUGGACACUGAUGGUGAUAAAAAUUUAUCUUUUCAUCGAUACACCUGCUAUAUAAUAAUAAUAUGAAUUUCAAUGAGACAAGCCAACAAUAUCAGUUGAGAAUUUCCAUAAUCAUCAAUGCAAGUAUGAGGAAGUUUAGUAAUUUUUUUAUCAUCUAUCAUUCGAACUUUCUUUUGGAUGAAUUUGUGGCUAAUUAAUUUUUUUUUUUGGCUAUUGCGAUUUGUUGUCAAGGCUUUAUGUGAUCCAGGAAUUAAUGAUAGAAAAAUCAUCAAACUAAGUUAUAAAAAUCUAAUACUAUACCGAGAGUAUACCAUUUAUUUUUCUUCAGAUCAAACAAAUGUGUUUAUUCAUUGGAUUUCGACUGUCUCUUCAUUUAUUUAGGCGGACAAAUUUCAAAUAAAAUUGGGUCAAUGGGGGAAACAACUUACUACCAAAGUAAAAUAGAAAAAUAAAAAAAAAAAAAACGAAAAAUUUGUUGCAGUAUCGUCAACGAAACGUGAGCAAUCGCAAGAAAUACACAUGACACUAGACAAAUGACUGUUUUUGACCCUGUUGUGAUCUUUGAAAAAAUAAGUUUUAGGGUCGAAGUCAGAGCAAAACGAUAAGAGCAAACCAAUCCUACACCUCUUUACUUUAUAUCCACCAUAGAAAAAAAGAUAGUGAAAUCACUCGUAGUUGAUCUUAUCCCUUGACUGUUUGCUUGCUUCAUUACCUCAAUAUAAAUUGUCCUGGCUGGUUGGGGUCACUCUUGAUUGAAUAUCAUCAUUUAUUUCUUUAUUUCAAGGUAGAUACACAAUAC